GGUUAAGUUAGAAAGGGCGCACGGUGGAUGCCUUGGCACUAGGAGCCGAUGAAGGACGGGACGAACACCGAUAUGCUUCGGGGAGCUGUAAGCAAGCUUUGAUCCGGAGAUUUCCGAAUGGGGAAACCCACCACUCGUAAUGGAGUGGUAUCCAUAUCUGAAUACAUAGGAUAUGAGAAGGCAGACCCGGGGAACUGAAACAUCUAAGUACCCGGAGGAAGAGAAAGCAAAUGCGAUUCCCUGAGUAGCGGCGAGCGAAACGGGACCAGCCCAAACCAAGAGGCUUGCCUCUUGGGGUUGUAGGACACUCUGUACGGAGUUACAAAGGAACGAGGUAGAUGAAGAGGUCUGGAAAGGCCCGCCAUAGGAGGUAACAGCCCUGUAGUCAAAACUUCGUUCUCUCCUGAGUGGAUCCUGAGUACGGCGGAACACGUGAAAUUCCGUCGGAAUCCGGGAGGACCAUCUCCCAAGGCUAAAUACUCCCUAGUGACCGAUAGUGAACCAGUACCGUGAGGGAAAGGUGAAAAGCACCCCGGAAGGGGAGUGAAAGAGAUCCUGAAACCGUGUGCCUACAAGUAGUCAGAGCCCGUUAACGGGUGAUGGCGUGCCUUUUGUAGAAUGAACCGGCGAGUUACGAUCCCGUGCAAGGUUAAGCAGAAGAUGCGGAGCCGCAGCGAAAGCGAGUCUGAAUAGGGCGAAUUGAGUACGUGGUUGUAGACCCGAAACCAGGUGAUCUACCCAUGUCCAGGGUGAAGUUCAGGUAACACUGAAUGGAGGCCCGAACCCACGCACGUUGAAAAGUGCGGGGAUGAGGUGUGGGUAGGGGUGAAAUGCCAAUCGAACCUGGAGAUAGCUGGUUCUCUCCGAAAUAGCUUUAGGGCUAGCCUCAAGGUAAGAGUCUCGGAGGUAGAGCACUGAUUGGACUAGGGGCCCCUACCGGGUUACCGAAUUCAGUCAAACUCCGAAUGCCGAUGACUUAUCCUUGGGAGUCAGACUGCGAGUGAUAAGAUCCGUAGUCGAAAGGGAAACAGCCCAGACCGCCAGCUAAGGUCCCAAAGUAUACGUUAAGUGGAAAAGGAUGUGGAGUUGCUUAGACAACCAGGAUGUUGGCUUAGAAGCAGCCACCAUUUAAAGAGUGCGUAAUAGCUCACUGGUCGAGUGACUCUGCGCCGAAAAUGUACCGGGGCUAAACGUAUCACCGAAGCUGCGGACUGUUCUUCGAACAGUGGUAGGAGAGCGUUCUAAGGGCUGUGAAGCAAGACCGGAAGGACUUGUGGAGCGCUUAGAAGUGAGAAUGCCGGUAUGAGUAGCGAAAGAGGGGUGAGAAUCCCCUCCACCGAAUGCCUAAGGUUUCCUGAGGAAGGCUCGUCCGCUCAGGGUUAGUCGGGACCUAAGCCGAGGCCGAAAGGCGUAGGCGAUGGAUAACAGGUUGAUAUUCCUGUACCACCUCCUCACCAUUUGAGCAAUGGGGGGACGCAGGAGGAUAGGGUAAGCGCGGUAUUGGAUAUCCGCGUCCAAGCAGUUAGGCUGGGAAAUAGGCAAAUCCGUUUCCCGUGAAGGCUGAGCUGUGAUGGCGAGCGAAUUAUAGUAGCGAAGUUCCUGAUUCCACACUGCCAAGAAAAGCCUCUAGCGAGGUGAGAGGUGCCCGUACCGCAAACCGACACAGGUAGGCGAGGAGAGAAUCCUAAGGUGAUCGAGAGAACUCUCGUUAAGGAACUCGGCAAAAUGACCCCGUAACUUCGGGAGAAGGGGUGCUCUGUUAGGGUGCAAGCCCGAGAGAGCCGCAGUGAAUAGGCCCAGGCGACUGUUUAGCAAAAACACAGGUCUCUGCGAAGCCGUAAGGCGAAGUAUAGGGGCUGACGCCUGCCCGGUGCUGGAAGGUUAAGAGGAGCGCUUAGCGUAAGCGAAGGUGCGAAUUGAAGCCCCAGUAAACGGCGGCCGUAACUAUAACGGUCCUAAGGUAGCGAAAUUCCUUGUCGGGUAAGUUCCGACCCGCACGAAAGGCGCAACGAUCUGGGCACUGUCUCAACGAGAGACUCGGUGAAAUUAUAGUACCUGUGAAGAUGCAGGUUACCCGCGACAGGACGGAAAGACCCCGUGGAGCUUUACUGCAGCCUGAUAUUGAAUGUUGGUACAGCUUGUACAGGAUAGGUAGGAGCCUUGGAAACCGGAGCGCCAGCUUCGGUGGAGGCAUCGGUGGGAUACUACCCUGGCUGUAUUGACCUUCUAACCCGCCGCCCUUAUCGGGCGGGGAGACAGUGUCAGGUGGGCAGUUUGACUGGGGCGGUCGCCUCCUAAAAGGUAACGGAGGCGCCCAAAGGUUCCCUCAGAAUGGUUGGAAAUCAUUCGCAGAGUGUAAAGGCACAAGGGAGCUUGACUGCGAGACCUACAAGUCGAGCAGGGACGAAAGUCGGGCUUAGUGAUCCGGUGGUUCCGCAUGGAAGGGCCAUCGCUCAACGGAUAAAAGCUACCCCGGGGAUAACAGGCUUAUCUCCCCCAAGAGUCCACAUCGACGGGGAGGUUUGGCACCUCGAUGUCGGCUCAUCGCAUCCUGGGGCUGUAGUCGGUCCCAAGGGUUGGGCUGUUCGCCCAUUAAAGCGGUACGCGAGCUGGGUUCAGAACGUCGUGAGACAGUUCGGUCCCUAUCCGUCGCGGGCGCAGGAAAUUUGAGAGGAGCUGUCCUUAGUACGAGAGGACCGGGAUGGACGCACCGCUGGUGUACCAGUUGUUCUGCCAAGGGCAUCGCUGGGUAGCUAUGUGCGGACGGGAUAAGUGCUGAAAGCAUCUAAGCAUGAAGCCCCCCUCAAGAUGAGAUUUCCCAUUCCGCAAGGAAGUAAGAUCCCUGAAAGAUGAUCAGGUUGAUAGGUCUGAGGUGGAAGUGUGGCGACACAUGGAGCUGACAGAUACUAAUCGAUCGAGGACUUAACCAA
This 2930-nucleotide ribosomal RNA is filed under the name Bacillus velezensis. RNAcentral describes it as "23S ribosomal RNA". It matches the Rfam family "Bacterial large subunit ribosomal RNA". Lineage: Bacteria; Bacillati; Bacillota; Bacilli; Caryophanales; Bacillaceae. RNAcentral also lists the same sequence under 1 other name. The record is from RNAcentral.